CCAAGUCGAUGAUGUAUAAAUAAAGAAUUGGAUUUGAAAAUAUGAUAAAGGAAAAGACCACAAAAAAUAAGAAAAAUGACAGAACAAAGAGAGAAAGAGAGGAAGAAAAAGCGAGUAAAAGAUUAAGCGAGAGAGAUAGAGCGAAAGAGCGAAUGAGCGAGCGAGCGAGCGAGCAAGAACGCUCUCGCAUUCCGUCACGGGCGUUCGUGGCUGACGGAUGCGUCGUACUCUUGUCGCGAAAAGAAUUUUUAUACUUUUUGAUAAAAUAAUCAAAUCAACGAUUCCGUCGAGGCACAACUCGAUAAAACGAUUCGCGAACGAGUCGAAACAUACGUUUCAGAAUCAGUGAGUCAGAUCUCCUUAGAGGGACUUUCGCGAGAGCAGAUUUAUCCUUUCUCAGGUUUCCUUCCUUCUCGCAACGUUAGAAUCCGGUCCUGCGGGAUGCAGCAGGUUGAUCGUGGAACAUGGAAAUUCUUCUUUCUUCGAUGUUCUACAGGAAGGUUCUAUCUCGCUGUGCAGAGGAGUGACAUCGACUAAUUAAUAAAAUAAAUCAACGGAUGAAGGUGCAAUGACCCCAGUGCAUCGAGGAAAGACGAAAAGGUAGAGAGGGUGAAUUCGAAGGAUUGGAAAACUAUGUAUCAAUGUACAUACUACUUACAUAUCAGUUCAAUCAGUGAUGUAACGAUUUUCUCCAUCGAAGGUAUGUAUGCUGGAUGUUGGAAAUGAUCGAGAAGUAAACAAUCGAUAUGUACUUUGAACGUUCAAGUUAAAUAUUCGACUUACUAUGGAUGACGUCUAAAAAGAUUACAAUCGAGAAGCUAAUCCUUCUCUUACAAACUCCUGUUUUCCCGCCUUAUGACAUCGAAACUUUUCAAGGAUAAAUCAAAGUGCUGGGAUCAUCUUUAUCUAUUCUUCUUCUAUGAAAAUGCUCUUUAUGCUUUUGAUUGUUGCUCAGAAAGCCUUGAAAACAAUACUGGCUUUCGGGCAAUAAUCAUAAUCACGGAAGAGCAAAGAUUCGUCCUCUCGAUCAACGUCUGACUGUCAUUUAAAUCGUCGUUAAACCUGAGAAAGGAACAUUGUCCUCAUUUGCCUGUCAUAAACUCAGCAAAAGCAGAUGUAUGACUUCUUUAUUGCGAACAAUAUAAUAUAGACAUUAAGAUUUAUUAUAAGUUAUUUGUUAAAUGUACUGUGUCUGGGUAUAUAUGGACUUUCCACUCGCAUUAUCAUUGUUUCUGAAAUGUAUGUAUAAUAUGGACAAGUAUCGAUUAUAUUAACAAGGUUAAUUAUAUAAUAAUCCUAUUAAAUUCUAAGUUAUACAAUUGUUUGAAUUCAUCGAUUUUCAUCUCAAAGGGCUCGAUUAUUAUCUCCGAAUGAAAAUAUGUACAUUUUUUAUGUUUGUAAUAAGUAUCACGAAUCUUUUAUACAUAAGUUAGAAAAAUUAUUAUCGUAAUACAAAUAAAUCCUUUACAUAGACCAAUAUGGUGGUCAUAAUAAUUUUCCUAUGCUUGUAACUGAUAAUAUGUAUCGAAAGCUAUAAAUAUUUCUGAAAUAAACAUUUUAUAAUAAUACAUUUAAUCAUAAACUUCUACAUUUCGUUGAAAUCCUUUCCUAGAAAGUGCAAAUUUUACAAAAUGCAAUGUAUAUAGAGAAUUUGUACAUUGAUUUAUAAAAAAUCGAAUAUACUAGUAGCACAGGAAUGUUGAAUCGUCGAUAGAUUUCAACCUACUUGAAUCGAGGUCAAUAUUUACUCAUCUAGAUAUCUAAAUACCAUUUACUUGAACAAAUUAUUGUCUAUCUCGAGCACGUUACUAGGGAACGUAGAAUAUUCCUAUUUCAUGUGCC
Vespula vulgaris is the source of this 1842-nucleotide long non-coding RNA. RefSeq lists it as uncharacterized. Lineage: Eukaryota; Metazoa; Arthropoda; Insecta; Hymenoptera; Vespidae. The transcript is spliced from 4 exons. The record is from RefSeq and is a predicted model, not a curated record.